UACGUAGGGUGCAAGCGUUAUCCGGAAUUAUUGGGCGUAAAGAGCUCGUAGGCGGUUUAUCGCGUCUGCUGUGAAAAUCCAGGGCUUAACCCUGGACCUGCAGUGGGUACGGGCAGACUAGAGUGCGGUAGGGGAGAUCGGAAUUCCUGGUGUAGCGGUGAAAUGCGCAGAUAUCAGGAGGAACACCGGUGGCGAAGGCGGAUCUCUGGGCCGUAACUGACGCUGAGGAGCGAAAGCAUGGGGAGCGAACAGG
Molecule: ribosomal RNA, 253 nt
Filed under: uncultured bacterium
Lineage: Bacteria
Description: partial 16S ribosomal RNA
Rfam family: Bacterial small subunit ribosomal RNA
Source: RNAcentral